This 1260-nucleotide long non-coding RNA is filed under the name Equus caballus (horse). RNAcentral's name for it is "lncRNA (ENSECAG00000056819.1)". Lineage: Eukaryota; Metazoa; Chordata; Mammalia; Perissodactyla; Equidae. The record is from RNAcentral.
CCUACGUGGGGGAGAGCACUAAGCACAUUGGUGAGGCCGGAACAAAGUAGCAAGAGUGAGUCACAAAUGAUACAGUUGAAGCUAGUCCACCAAGGUUCAUGAAGUUACCCAGCCAUCAUGCAAGAGGGUCCAAUCUAGACCCCAAGGAGAGGAACUGAGGCCCCCAGCCAAUAGCCAGCAUCCACUGCCAGACAUGGGAGUGAAGGAUCAAAUGCAGGACCGGUCAGUAAGCAGCUGAGGGAUCUCUGUCCAUGGCCCCGUAGUUGGCCCUGUGCUGCUAUGAGGAUGAAGGAGGCAGGGGCCCUGAAGCCCCUAGGAAUUUUAUUUGCUGUUUGGAGGCAUCAAGUUCUUAAUAAAAGUAGCAUCAACGCAGAAGACCUGGGUUCAUGUCACAGCUGAGCUCCUGCUCGCUGAGUCACCUGGGGUAGCCCACGGAGCCCUCUAAGCCUCAAUUUCUUCAGCUGCAAGUGGUCCUGAUGGCUGGUUUUGGAUCAAACAAUGCAGUGCAUGUGAAAAAGAGAUGAUAGGCUUUAAAAAGAGUUCUUCCUUCCACAGUUACCCAGCCAUCAUGCAAGAGGGUCCAAUCUAGACCCCAAGGAGAGGAACUGAGGCCCCCAGCCAAUAGCCAGCAUCCACUGCCAGACAUGGGAGUGAAGGAUCAUGCAAACAAUUCCAGUUCCCAGCUUUCAAGCCUUCCAGGUGUGACCCCAGACAUCGUGGAGCAGAGACAAGCCAUCCCCACUUUGCUCUGUCCAAAUUCCUGACCCACAGAACCCAGGAACAUAACAAAGGGGGUCUCAUUCCCCUAAGUCUUGGGGUAAUUUCUUAGGCAACAUUAGAUAACCAGAAUAUAGAGUAACUUCAGGACAAGCAAGAAUGAGCAGCAUAUAAAUUGAAGCAGAAGUGCCCGAAAGGACUUGAGAAUUAGUCAGAACGGAAUGGCAUUAAAUGUGGAAAGCAUUACUGACCCUCGCCAUGUGGUUUCUAACCCUGUCCUAUCGUGACAUUGCUCCCUGAAAGGCCAUCAACCACCUCCCAACUGAUGAAAAAUAAACUUCAACCUUUUCUCCAUACUUAUUCCCCUUCAACUUUUUCUUCCCUUGACUUCCAGUCAAAAUGUAAGGUCAAUUACCACACAAACACGCUUCUCUACUGGUCUCUGCAUUGCUUUAUUCAUUAGUUGCUCCUCUUCCACCCACCUUGCCACUAAGGGGUAUCCAACUUACUCUCCAAAGGCUUGCUCCCCUCUUUCCAUCCACG